CUACGGAUGGUGCGAGCGUUGUUCGGAAUUACUGGGCGUAAAGGGCGCGUAGGCGGCGAUGUAAGUCAAAUGUGAAAGUCCUCGGCUUAACCGGGGAAGUGCAUCUGAAACUGCAUUGCUUGAGUAUGGGAGAGGAAAGUGGAAUUCCCGGUGUAGAGGUGAAAUUCGUAGAGAGCGGGAGGAAUACCGGUGGCGAAGGCGACUUUCUGGACCAAUACUGACGCUGAGGCGCGAAAGCGUGGGGAGCAAACAGGAGUAGAAACCCUAGUAGUCC
Molecule: ribosomal RNA, 274 nt
Filed under: uncultured bacterium
Lineage: Bacteria
Description: partial 16S ribosomal RNA
Rfam family: Bacterial small subunit ribosomal RNA
Source: RNAcentral